UACGUAGGUGGCGAGCGUUGUCCGGAAUUAUUGGGCGUAAAGAGCAUGUAGGCGGUUUUUUAAGUCUGGAGUGAAAAUGCAGGGCUCAACCCCGUAUGGCUCUGGAUACUGGAAGACUUGAGUGCAGGAGAGGAAAGGGGAAUUCCCAGUGUAGCGGUGAAAUGCGUAGAUAUUGGGAGGAACACCAGUGGCGAAGGCGCCUUUCUGGACUGUGUCUGACGCUGAGAUGCGAAAGCCAGGGUAGCGAACGGG
RNAcentral lists this ribosomal RNA (252 nucleotides) under Phascolarctobacterium succinatutens YIT 12067. RNAcentral describes it as "partial 16S ribosomal RNA". It matches the Rfam family "Bacterial small subunit ribosomal RNA", at positions 524 to 776 of the family's 1533-position model. The record is from RNAcentral. Lineage: Bacteria; Bacillati; Bacillota; Negativicutes; Acidaminococcales; Acidaminococcaceae.